UUCGGUCUUUGGAGCGGGGUGGAACUACACCUUCCCUUUCCGAACAGGAACGUAAAACGCCCUAGCGCCCACAAUACUUGUCCGGAAACGGACCGGGAAGAUAGGUCAAGGCCGAGA
Molecule: ribosomal RNA, 117 nt
Filed under: Candidatus Gottesmanbacteria bacterium RIFCSPHIGHO2_01_FULL_47_48
Lineage: Bacteria; Candidatus Gottesmaniibacteriota
Source: RNAcentral